This 305-nucleotide ribosomal RNA is filed under the name uncultured bacterium. RNAcentral's name for it is "bacterial SSU rRNA". It matches the Rfam family "Bacterial small subunit ribosomal RNA", at positions 335 to 639 of the family's 1533-position model. The record is from RNAcentral.
GUCCUACGGGGGGUAGCAGUGAGGAAUAUUGGUCAAUGGCCGCAGGGCUGAACCAGCCAAGUCGCGUGAGGGAUGACGGUCCUAUGGAUUGUAAACCUCUUUUGUCAGGGAGCAAAGGGCGCCACGUGUGGCGUUUUGCGAGUACCUGAAGAAAAAGCAUCGGCUAACUCCGUGCCAGCAGCCGCGGUAAUACGGAGGAUGCGAGCGUUGUCCGGAUUUAUUGGGUUUAAAGGGUGCGCAGGCGGUCUGUUAAGUCAGCGGUCAAAGCCCGGGGCUCAACCCCGGCCCGCCGUUGAAACUGGCAG